GUGGGGAAUAUUGCACAAUGGGGGAAACCCUGAUGCAGCAACGCCGCGUGAAGGAUGACGGUUUUCGGAUUGUAAACUUCUUUUCUUAGUGACGAAGACAGUGACGGUAGCUAAGGAAUAAGCAUCGGCUAACUACGUGCCAGCAGCCGCGGUAAUACGUAGGAUGCAAGCGUUAUCCGGAUUUACUGGGUGUAAAGGGAGCGCAGGCGGGUCUGCAAGUUGGAUGUGAAAUACCGUGGCUUAACCACGGAACUGCAUCCAAAACUGUAGUUCUUGAGUGAAGUAGAGGCAAGCGGAAUUCCGAGUGUAGCGGUGAAAUGCGUAGAUAUUCGGAGGAACACCAGUGGCGAAGGCGGCUUGCUGGGCUUUAACUGACGCUGAGGCUCGAAAGUGUGGGGAGCAAACAGGAUUAGAUACCCCUGUAGUCC
Molecule: ribosomal RNA, 428 nt
Filed under: uncultured bacterium
Lineage: Bacteria
Description: partial 16S ribosomal RNA
Rfam family: Bacterial small subunit ribosomal RNA
Source: RNAcentral